ACUUCGGUACAUCGGUGACAGGUGGUGCAUGGUUGUCGUCAGCUCGUGUCGUGAGAUGUUGGGUUAAGUCCCGCAACGAGCGCAACCCCUAUUGUUAGUUGCCAUCAUUCAGUUGGGCACUCUAGCGAGACUGCCGGUAAUAAACCGGAGGAAGGUGGGAUGACGUCAAAUCAUCAUGCCCCUUAUGACCUGGGCUACACACGUGCUACAAUGGUUGGUACAACGAGUUGCGAGUCGGUGACGGCGAGCUAAUCUCUUAAAGCCAAUCUCAGUUCGGAUUGUAGGCUGCAACUCGCCUACAUGAAGUCGGAAUCGCUAGUAAUCGCGGAUCAGCACGCCGCGGUGAAUACGUUCCCGGGGCCUU
Molecule: ribosomal RNA, 364 nt
Filed under: uncultured Streptococcus sp.
Lineage: Bacteria; Bacillati; Bacillota; Bacilli; Lactobacillales; Streptococcaceae
Description: bacterial SSU rRNA
Rfam family: Bacterial small subunit ribosomal RNA
Source: RNAcentral